Molecule: ribosomal RNA, 1445 nt
Filed under: uncultured organism
Description: partial small subunit ribosomal RNA
Rfam family: Bacterial small subunit ribosomal RNA
Source: RNAcentral
CGAACGCUGGCGGCGUGCUUAACACAUGCAAGUCGAACGGAAAGGCCCUGCUUUUGUGGGGUGCUCGAGUGGCGAACGGGUGAGUAACACGUGAGUAACCUGCCCUUGACUUUGGGAUAACUUCAGGAAACUGGGGCUAAUACCGGAUAGGAGCUCCUGCUGCAUGGUGGGGGUUGGAAAGUUUCGGCGGUUGGGGAUGGACUCGCGGCUUAUCAGCUUGUUGGUGGGGUAGUGGCUUACCAAGGCUUUGACGGGUAGCCGGCCUGAGAGGGUGACCGGCCACAUUGGGACUGAGAUACGGCCCAGACUCCUACGGGAGGCAGCAGUGGGGAAUAUUGCACAAUGGGCGGAAGCCUGAUGCAGCAACGCCGCGUGCGGGAUGACGGCCUUCGGGUUGUAAACCGCUUUCGCCUGUGACGAAGCGUGAGUGACGGUAAUGGGUAAAGAAGCACCGGCUAACUACGUGCCAGCAGCCGCGGUGAUACGUAGGGUGCGAGCGUUGUCCGGAUUUAUUGGGCGUAAAGGGCUCGUAGGUGGUUGAUCGCGUCGGAAGUGUAAUCUUGGGGCUUAACCCUGAGCGUGCUUUCGAUACGGGUUGACUUGAGGAAGGUAGGGGAGAAUGGAAUUCCUGGUGGAGCGGUGGAAUGCGCAGAUAUCAGGAGGAACACCAGUGGCGAAGGCGGUUCUCUGGGCCUUUCCUGACGCUGAGGAGCGAAAGCGUGGGGAGCGAACAGGCUUAGAUACCCUGGUAGUCCACGCUGUAAACGGUGGGUACUAGGUGUGGGGUCCAUUCCACGGGUUCCGUGCCGUAGCUAACGCUUUAAGUACCCCGCCUGGGGAGUACGGCCGCAAGGCUAAAACUCAAAGGAAUUGACGGGGCCCCGCACAAGCGGCGGAGCAUGCGGAUUAAUUCGAUGCAACGCGUAGAACCUUACCUGGGUUUGACAUGGAUCGGGAGUGCUCAGAGAUGGGUGUGCCUCUUUUGGGGUCGGUUCACAGGUGGUGCAUGGCUGUCGUCAGCUCAUGUCGUGAGAUGUUGGGUUAAGUCCCGCAACGAGCGCAACCCUUGUUCACUGUUGCCAGCACGUUAUGGUGGGGACUCAGUGGAGACCGCCGGGGUCAACUCGGAGGAAGGUGGGGAUGACGUCAAGUCAUCAUGCCCCUUAUGUCCAGGGCUUCACGCAUGCUACAAUGGCUGGUACAGAGAGUGGCGAGCCUGUGAGGGUGAGCGAAUCUCGGAAAGCCGGUCUCAGUUCGGAUUGGGGUCUGCAACUCGACCUCAUGAAGUCGGAGUCGCUAGUAAUCGCAGAUCAGCAACGCUGCGGUGAAUACGUUCCCGGGGCUUGUACACACCGCCCGUCAAGUCAUGAAAGUUGGUAACACCCGAAGCCGGUGGCCUAACCGUUGUGGGGGAGCCGUCGAAGGUGGGACUGGUGAUUAGGACU